UGGGGAAUAUUGCACAAUGGAGGAAACUCUGAUGCAGCGACGCCGCGUGAAGGAAGAAGGUCUUCGGAUUGUAAACUUCUGUUGUCAGGGACGAUAAUGACGGUACCUGACGAGAAAGCCACGGCUAACUACGUGCCAGCAGCCGCGGUAAAACGUAGGUGGCAAGCGUUGUCCGGAAUUACUGGGUGUAAAGGGAGCGCAGGCGGAUUGGUAAGUUGGAGGUGAAAUUCAUGGGCUCAACCCAUGACCUGCCUUCAAAACUAUCAGUCUUGAGUGGUGCAGAGGUAGGCGGAAUUCCCGGUGUAGCGGUGGAAUGCGUAGAUAUCGGGAGGAACACCAGUGGCGAAGGCGGCCUACUGGGCACUAACUGACGCUGAGGCUCGAAAGCAUGGGUAGCAAACA
RNAcentral lists this ribosomal RNA (402 nucleotides) under uncultured bacterium. Its description in RNAcentral is "bacterial SSU rRNA". It matches the Rfam family "Bacterial small subunit ribosomal RNA", at positions 355 to 774 of the family's 1533-position model. The record is from RNAcentral.